CACAUUUAGGGAUCACCUGGAGAUCUUGUUAAAAUGCAGAUACUGAUUCAGCAGAUCUGAGGUGGUGCAUUUCUAACAGGUUCCCAGAGGAUGCAGAUGCUGC
RNAcentral lists this microRNA precursor (103 nucleotides) under Mustela putorius furo (domestic ferret). RNAcentral describes it as "miRNA (ENSMPUG00000023626.1)". Lineage: Eukaryota; Metazoa; Chordata; Mammalia; Carnivora; Mustelidae. The record is from RNAcentral.